RNAcentral lists this ribosomal RNA (253 nucleotides) under uncultured bacterium. RNAcentral's name for it is "partial 16S ribosomal RNA". It matches the Rfam family "Bacterial small subunit ribosomal RNA", at positions 524 to 776 of the family's 1533-position model. The record is from RNAcentral.
GACGAACCGUGCGAACGUUAUUCGGAAUCACUGGGCUUAAAGGGCGCGUAGGCGGGCCGGAUAGUCAGGGGUGAAAGCCUCCAGCCCAACUGGAGAAGCGCCUUUGAUACUGUCGGCCUCGAGGGGUGCAGGGGCAUGCGGAACUCAGGGUGGAGCGGUGAAAUGCGUAGAUAUCCUGAGGAACACCGGUGGCGAAAGCGGCGUGCUGGACACCUUCUGACGCUGAGGCGCGAAAGCCAGGGGAGCGAACGGG